RNAcentral lists this ribosomal RNA (468 nucleotides) under uncultured bacterium. RNAcentral describes it as "partial 16S ribosomal RNA". It matches the Rfam family "Bacterial small subunit ribosomal RNA", at positions 28 to 507 of the family's 1533-position model. The record is from RNAcentral.
GACGAACGCUGGCGGCGUGCUUAACACAUGCAAGUCGAACGGAAAGGCCCUGCGUUUGUGGCGUGCUCGAGUGGCGAACGGGUGAGUGACACGUGAGUAACCUGCCCUUGACUUUGGGAUAACUUCAGGAAACUGGGGCUAAUACCGGAGAUGAUCUCCUGCUGCAUGGUGGGGGUUGGAAAGUGUCGGCGGUUGGGGAUCGUCUAGCGGCUUAUCAGCUUGUUGGUCGGGUAGUUGCUUACCAAGGCUUCGACGGGUAGCCGGCAUGAGAGGGUGGCCGGCCACAAUGGGACUGAGAUACGGAGCAGACUGCUACGGGAGGCAGCAGUGGGGAAUAUUGCACAAUGGGCGGAAGCCUGAUGCAGCAACGCCGCGUGCGGAAAGCCGGCCUUCGGGUUGUAAACCGCUUUCGCCUGAGACGAAGCGUGAGUGACGGUAAUGGGUCAAGAAGCAACGGCUAACUACGUG